Malus domestica (apple) is the source of this 687-nucleotide long non-coding RNA. RefSeq lists it as uncharacterized. The record is from RefSeq and is a predicted model, not a curated record. NCBI's taxonomy places the organism in Eukaryota, Viridiplantae, Streptophyta, Magnoliopsida, Rosales, Rosaceae.
AAUCUCUCUCUCUCUCUCUCCAGGCAAGAAAAUGACACGUGCAACUGCAAGAACAUCACAAAGCACACCAUCCCAAAAACUGGAAAUCCCCUCUCCCAAAUUCCCAGAAAAUUUCUUUGUAUUUUUGCUGCCGUUCUUGCCUUCUUUCUUCUCCUUUAUUUUUUCCUUUGCUGCGUCCUCACCUCCUCAGCUUCUGUAUAAAUGUCGUCGGAGCAACGCGAUCCUCUCACCAGCUGAAAUUGGAAAAGAAAAAAAAAACCCCAAUUCGGAUCUUCCCGUUUGCCAAUCAGGAAAUAGAAAGAUGUUGAUGAUGGGAUUGAGCAUCCAGAGCUUACUGGAUUUGGCCGUGGCCGGAAUUUCAAUGAUGGUCGGGUUGGGGAUCUUCGCGUUUAUCGCUUCCAUUCUUUGCUCUGCCGCGUUCCUGCACACCGCCAGCGCCAAGGACGUCUCCUCUUGAUCCCCCCAUUACUUGAAAGGUUUACCGUAGCAUACAGAAGGAAUGACAUGGUUGGCAACGAGUAUUGAUUCAAUUCAAAUGUAGCUCUGAUUAGUGGUUCUGGUUUUGAAGAUUUUGUAAUUUGUAUCCAUAACAAUUGCAGCGAGGUUGUUCAAUAAAAAGUCUCCUCCUCUGUUUGAAAAAAUGCAAAUACUGUACAAGUGAUUUCCGCACAUUUUUUUCUCUCGUUA